This 1884-nucleotide unclassified non-coding RNA is filed under the name Nostocaceae cyanobacterium N9-MA2. RNAcentral's name for it is "bacterial SSU rRNA". The stretch from base 1 to 1164 matches the Rfam family "Bacterial small subunit ribosomal RNA", at positions 356 to 1533 of the family's 1533-position model. The record is from RNAcentral. Lineage: Bacteria; Bacillati; Cyanobacteriota; Cyanophyceae; Nostocales; Nostocaceae.
GGGGAAUUUUCCGCAAUGGGCGAAAGCCUGACGGAGCAAUACCGCGUGAGGGAGGAAGGCUCUUGGGUUGUAAACCUCUUUUCUCAAGGAAGAAAAAAAUGACGGUACUUGAGGAAUAAGCAUCGGCUAACUCCGUGCCAGCAGCCGCGGUAAUACGGAGGAUGCAAGCGUUAUCCGGAAUGAUUGGGCGUAAAGCGUCCGCAGGUGGCUGUGAAAGUCUGCUGUUAAAGAAUGAGGCUCAACCUCAUCAAAGCAGUGGAAACUACACGGCUAGAGUGCGUUCGGGGUAGAGGGAAUUCCUGGUGUAGCGGUGAAAUGCGUAGAUAUCAGGAAGAACACCGGUGGCGAAGGCGCUCUACUAGGCCGCAACUGACACUGAGGGACGAAAGCUAGGGGAGCGAAUGGGAUUAGAUACCCCAGUAGUCCUAGCCGUAAACGAUGGAUACUAGGCGUGGCUUGUAUCGACCCGAGCCGUGCCGUAGCUAACGCGUUAAGUAUCCCGCCUGGGGAGUACGCACGCAAGUGUGAAACUCAAAGGAAUUGACGGGGGCCCGCACAAGCGGUGGAGUAUGUGGUUUAAUUCGAUGCAACGCGAAGAACCUUACCAAGACUUGACAUGUCGCGAAUCUUCCUGAAAGGGAAGAGUGCCUUCGGGAGCGCGAACACAGGUGGUGCAUGGCUGUCGUCAGCUCGUGUCGUGAGAUGUUGGGUUAAGUCCCGCAACGAGCGCAACCCUCGUUUUUAGUUGCCAGCAUUAAGUUGGGCACUCUAAAGAGACUGCCGGUGACAAACCGGAGGAAGGUGGGGAUGACGUCAAGUCAGCAUGCCCCUUACGUCUUGGGCUACACACGUACUACAAUGCUACGGACAAAGGGCAGCUACACAGCGAUGUGAUGCAAAUCUCAGAAACCGUAGCUCAGUUCAGAUCGCAGGCUGCAACUCGCCUGCGUGAAGGAGGAAUCGCUAGUAAUUGCAGGUCAGCAUACUGCAGUGAAUUCGUUCCCGGGCCUUGUACACACCGCCCGUCACACCAUGGAAGCUGGCAACGCCCGAAGUCAUUACUCCAACUCUUCGGAGAGGAGGAUGCCUAAGGCAGUGCUGGUGACUGGGGUGAAGUCGUAACAAGGUAGCCGUACCGGAAGGUGUGGCUGGAUCACCUCCUUUUUAGGGAGACCUACACCCCUCAAAACUCGAAAGCAAAAUGCCAAUAGAGAUUGAGUUGGUCUAACCUAGGUCGGUCGCAACAGUUGCUGAGCUUUCAAACUAUAGAUUGGUUCGGAUAAUGGGCUAUUAGCUCAGGUGGUUAGAGCGCACCCCUGAUAAGGGUGAGGUCCCUGGUUCGAGUCCAGGAUGGCCCACCUGAAAGUAAUUAGUAGUUACUAAUUAGUGAUUCGUAGUUAAUAAUUACGAAUUAAUAAUUAUGAAUUACGAAUUAUUUGGAUGGGGGUUUAGCUCAGUUGGUAGAGCGCCUGCUUUGCAAGCAGGAUGUCAGCGGUUCGAGUCCGCUAAUCUCCACAUUGUGUGAAAGUUACAAGAGAAAAAAUUAGCAAUUAAUUGUCAGUCAAGAUAAAAAAUUGUUAUCAUAAUCUUAGCAAUGAGCAGCACAGUGUGAUAGGAUAGUAGAUCGACAAACUCAGCAAUUGAUUGAUAGACAAUACAAUCGAACUGCUGGGUUAAUAACCAGCCAGAACCUUGAAAACUGCAUAAGUAACGCGAAAAAAGCAGGCAGACGAAUCAGAGUGCUGAAUACGGAGUGCGGAGUACUGAGAAAAAUCAGUGCAAAGAAACAAAGUAAACAGAACAAAGAAAAGUUUGCAGGUGAGACACCAAAUGUAAAGUGGUCAAGCUAAUAAGGGCUAACGGUGGAUACCUAGGCACACAGAG